RNAcentral lists this ribosomal RNA (496 nucleotides) under uncultured bacterium. Its description in RNAcentral is "partial 16S ribosomal RNA". It matches the Rfam family "Bacterial small subunit ribosomal RNA", at positions 28 to 506 of the family's 1533-position model. The record is from RNAcentral.
GAUGAACGCUGGCGGCGUGCCUAAUACAUGCAAGUCGAGCGAACGGACGAGAAGCUUGCUUCUCUGAUGUUAGCGGCGGACGGGUGAGUAACACGUGGAUAACCUACCUAUAAGACUGGGAUAACUUCGGGAAACCGUAGCUAAUACCGGAUAAUAUUUUGAACCGCAUGGUUCAAAAGUGAAAGACGGUCUUGCUGUCACUUAUAGAUGGAUCCGCGCUGCAUUAGCUAGUUGGUAAGGUAACGGCUUACCAAGGCAACGAUGCAUAGCCGACCUGAGAGGGUGAUCGGCCACACUGGAACUGAGACACGGUCCAGACUCCUACGGGAGGCAGCAGUAGGGAAUCUUCCGCAAUGGGCGAAAGCCUGACGGAGCAACGCCGCGUGAGUGAUGAAGGUCUUCGGAUCGUAAAACUCUGUUAUUAGGGAAGAACAUAUGUGUAAGUAACUGUGCGCAUCUUGACGGUACCUAAUCAGAAAGCCACGGCUAACUACGU